RNAcentral lists this ribosomal RNA (503 nucleotides) under uncultured bacterium. RNAcentral's name for it is "partial 16S ribosomal RNA". It matches the Rfam family "Bacterial small subunit ribosomal RNA", at positions 30 to 523 of the family's 1533-position model. The record is from RNAcentral.
AUUGAACGCUGGCGGCAGGCUUAACACAUGCAAGUCGAGCGGGGUGAUGGUGCUUGCACUAUCACUUAGCGGCGGACGGGUGAGUAAUGCUUAGGAAUCUGCCUAUUAGUGGGGGACAACAUCUCGAAAGGGAUGCUAAUACCGCAUACGUCCUACGGGAGAAAGCAGGGGAUCACUUGUGACCUUGCGCUAAUAGAUGAGCCUAAGUCGGAUUAGCUAGUUGGUGGGGUAAAGGCCUACCAAGGCGACGAUCUGUAGCGGGUCUGAGAGGAUGAUCCGCCACACUGGGACUGAGACACGGCCCAAACGCCUACGGGAGGCAGCAGUGGGGAAUAUUGGACAAUGGGAGGAACCCUGAUCUAGCCAUGCCGCGUGUGUGAAGAAGGCCUUAUGGUUGUAAAGCACUUUAAGCGAGGAGGAGGCUCUUUUGGUUAAUACCCAAGAUGAGUGGACGUUACUCGCAGAAUAAGCACCGGCUAACUCUGUGCCAGCCGCCGCCGUAA